Molecule: long non-coding RNA, 101 nt
Organism: Ipomoea nil (Japanese morning glory)
Lineage: Eukaryota; Viridiplantae; Streptophyta; Magnoliopsida; Solanales; Convolvulaceae
Exons: 2
Source: RefSeq, a predicted model, not a curated record
UAUGAAUGACACGUGUACAUGGAUUAGUUGAUCCUAAGGGUCGGGGAAGCCCGACAGACAGCGCGUUUGUGCAUGCGUUGAAAGGGAAUCGGGAUAAAAUU